GUGAUCCGGUGGUUCCGCAUGGAAGGGCCAUCGCUCAACGGAUAAAAGCUACCCCGGGGAUAACAGGCUUAUCUCCCCCAAGAGUUCACAUCGACGGGGAGGUUUGGCACCUCGAUGUCGGCUCAUCGCAUCCUGGGGCUGUAGUCGGUCCCAAGGGUUGGGCUGUUCGCCCAUUAAAGCGGUACGCGAGCUGGGUUCAGAACGUCGUGAGACAGUUCGGUCCCUAUCCGUCGUGGGCGUAGGAAAUUUGAGAGGAGCUGUCCUUAGUACGAGAGGACCGGGAUGGACAUACCUCUGGUGUACCAGUUGUCGUGCCAACGGCAUAGCUGGGUAGCUAUGUGUGGACGGGAUAAGUGCUGAAAGCAUCUAAGCAUGAAGCCCCCCUCAAGAUGAGAUUUCCCAACUUCGGUUAUAAGAUCCCUCAAAGAUGAUGAGGUUAAUAGGUUCGAGGUGGAAGCAUGGUGACAUGUGGAGCUGACGAAUACUAA
This 488-nucleotide ribosomal RNA is filed under the name Staphylococcus aureus. RNAcentral describes it as "partial 23S ribosomal RNA". It matches the Rfam family "Bacterial large subunit ribosomal RNA", at positions 2415 to 2904 of the family's 2925-position model. The record is from RNAcentral. Lineage: Bacteria; Bacillati; Bacillota; Bacilli; Caryophanales; Staphylococcaceae.